This 1141-nucleotide long non-coding RNA is filed under the name Arabidopsis thaliana (thale cress). Its description in RNAcentral is "potential natural antisense gene, locus overlaps with AT5G05430 (AT5G05435)". Lineage: Eukaryota; Viridiplantae; Streptophyta; Magnoliopsida; Brassicales; Brassicaceae. The record is from RNAcentral.
AUUAGUUAGCCCCAUAUGGUUCCUAUUAAGUAUCUUAGAGCAUCUCCAACGGGAGAAAAAUGGAGCUCUCAUGACAGUCUCUCUAAAUUAUUGUGGAAAAAAAUAAAUCAUAAAGGUUUAAUACUGAGAGAAUCGUUUCUCUUAAGAGAGAUUUUGGAGCUGAAGAGAGACGCAUACGUGUCGUUGUUUUUCAGUAUUUCUUUUUUUUUUCCGUUUUUUUUCUCUACUAUCAUCUUUUCACUGGGACUUUGAGGAUCAUUGGACUUACCUGAAACGAGCUGGCCGACGUUGAUUUCGGUAGGCUUAUCGGCUCUGAGAUUCAUGGAUUCCAUACUUUGCAAGGUUUGUUCUUCUAAUCUUAUCGUUCGUCUUGAUUCAUAGAACUGUUUUUGUUUGUUCUUAAAUUCGAUUGUCUCUCGGUUUUCAUUGUCCUAUUGUUUUUCUUUUAUUUUGUCUGUCUGGGUUUUGGACUUUUACUCUCGAUUGCUCUUUGAUUCUCGUAGCUAUUGAACUAGAAUUUGCAAAAGGUUGUGGAAUUUGAGGUUCUAAUUGUGAUUUUAAUGUGGUGAUUUGGAAAAGAAUUUAGGGACAUUUUAGGUUGAUUAAGGGAUCUUGGCUUUGAUUUGAGAUACCCAUCUAACGUGAAGAAGCUAGUGAAGUAUAUUUCAACCCCACCUGUGAGAGAGCUUCAGGGGAUAAUCCAUUUGGGUGGGUAUUUUUCUGGCUGUACCACUUGCAGUUUCUCAAAAGUGAGUGAAGGAACUCAUUUUGGUUGAUUAUACUCUGAGUGAAGGAACUCAUUUUCGUUGGUUCUGCUCUUCUAAGUGAAGAGGGCUUACAAGCUUGGAAAGCAAGUUUCCAACAGAGUAAUAUCAUGUCUGACCGGAACCAUACAACGGAACAUUCCACAUAUCGUUUUACAUUUCUAUUGACCUUGACCUUUAUGUUUUAAUUUGUCAAGAAGUCUACUGCAUUUCUAUUCUCUCCUAUCUCAUUCCUCUUUAUUUACUUGCUUUCACAUGGUAAGGAAUUGUGAAUAUAUGGUCUCAGCCUCUCAUGUUAGACAUUUCUUCUAUGAUUCUCAUUUUUUCUAUUGUGAAUAAUUUUUUUUCCAGACAACUCUUUUAAAAGAGACUUACCA